CAGCCGCCGCGGUAAUACGUAGGGUGCGAGCGUUAAUCGGAACUACUGGGCGUAAAGCGUGCGCAGGCGGUUGUGUAAGACAGGUGUGAAAUCCCCGGGCUUAACCUGGGAACUGCGCUUGUGACUGCACAGCUAGAGUAUGGCAGAGGGGGGUGGAAUUCCACGUGUAGCAGUGAAAUGCGUAGAGAUGUGGAGGAACACCGAUGGCGAAGGCAGCCCCCUGGGCCAAUACUGACGCUCAUGCACGAAAGCGUGGGGAGCAAACAGGAUUAGAGACCCCUGUAGUCCCUGUCUCUUAUAC
Molecule: ribosomal RNA, 301 nt
Filed under: uncultured bacterium
Lineage: Bacteria
Description: partial 16S ribosomal RNA
Rfam family: Bacterial small subunit ribosomal RNA
Source: RNAcentral